CUCACUCUCCCUCUUCUCUGUCUUUCCAUUUCCGCCUCUUCUUCUUUCCUUGCUCCUAUUUCUAUUCCGGUGUUCUUUGUUGUUCUUAACAGUAACUUCCGCCUCCUCCGCGCGUGAUAAACAUACUUCACGUCUUCGCUUCUUCUUCGUUUGUGAACAACUAUCAAAGGUGUACUACCCAAUUGGAAGGAUGUGCUCGAAAAGAGCUCGGCGGAGAGCCUGAACCUGCUUCAAAACGGUCUCCUAGAUGUGUGCAUGCUAGAUCUGGACUAUUGGUUCCCUGACUCAGUUUUUGCUGGUGGAUGUGACCCUUUUUGCUUGCUGUCAUAGAAUAGACAAAUGUUUAUGUUGCAGCACAGUGCAUUUAUUUUUCAGGUGCCACAAGCUUCACGUAGCAUGGUUUCACCAUUUCUAAGCUCUCCCAUUCAUUUCCCUUUUCAUCCCAAUCAAAGGGCAAAAACCAGAGAUUUUCUAACCUCAUUUGAAGAAACCAAUGAUGGUGAUGGAGUUGUUCGUCCUAGAGGUGAUGAAAAGAAUUAUGACAAAGAUCCCGAGCUUGCAGAAAUUCUCGGGAACUGUCUCGAUGAUCCGGAUAAAGCUAAGUCAAGGUUGGAGGAGAGAUUGAGAAAGAAAAGGAAUAAAAUAGUGCAUACAAAGAUAGGAUCACCAACACCUAUGAGAGUGGAAUUUAACAAAUUUGAUUUUACAAACACCUACAUAUGGCUUGAGUUCUACAAUGCCCCAUUGGAGAAGGAUAUUUCCUUGAUUUGUGACACAAUUCGGUCUUGGCACAUUGUUGGACGUCUUGGUGGAUGUAAUUCGAUGAAUAUGCAAUUGUCCCAAUCUCUUUUGGACAAAAGACCAAAUUAUGAUGCUGUUCAGGGGGCAAAUGUAACACCUACUACAUUCUACAAUAUUGGAGAUGUUGAGAUUCAAGAUAACUUGGCUCGUAUAUGGGUGGACAUUGGGACAAGUGAGCCUUUACUGUUGGAUGUAUUGAUUAAUGCUUUGUCACAGAUAAGCUCCGACUAUGUUGGUAUCAAACAAGUGGUAUUUGGAGGAUCUGAAUUUGAGAACUGGAAGGAGAACUUGACAUCAGAGGAUGCCGGUUAUAGUGUUCACAAGAUAUAGAUGACUUUUUGAAGAAGGCUUCUGGUUAGAAGAUGAAACAGUCAUUGAAGAUGGAAAGAAUUGUGUAGAGUGAGGAAGACCACCGUACUUCGGAUUCCAUACAAGGUAAUGAGUUCCUCCAAGUGGUAUGAGACAACCACUUGGCAAAAGGGUUUCCAUUUCUAGGGUGAGUUGUGCCUUGCAAGAAACUCUCCUUUCACCAUUUUUUAUUAGUUUUAUCAUAUGAUGCAGCAAAUAAGGAUCUUAAUUUCCCAGGAGGCAUGCAUUGGUCAUCUACGAGAUUCAAUUCUAAAACUACUUGAUGA
RNA transcript from Solanum dulcamara, 1436 nucleotides. RefSeq lists it as uncharacterized. Lineage: Eukaryota; Viridiplantae; Streptophyta; Magnoliopsida; Solanales; Solanaceae. The record is from RefSeq and is a predicted model, not a curated record. The transcript is spliced from 10 exons.